CGGGCCAAGUAAAACGUUGUGCAAAUCUGUAGACUGGUAAAUGAUACGGGGAGCCCAUUCAGGGUCAUGCCUCUUCAAUAAGGCCUCAACCUUGACAAAAAUUUCCUUNNNNNNNNNNUCCCUGAGAGUAGCAUCAGAAAUUUUUGAGUAAGCCUUCAAAUGUCGGGCUUGCUUGGCUGAGUCGAAUUGAAGAUUCCACGACUCGAACAGGUCACGAUCAUAAACCAAAGGAUUAGCCCCUACGGGCUGAAUCCGGUUCAACAGAUUUGUAUUGGCAUCCAGUAUGUCGCUAGGACAACGUGCGUCAGAAUGAAAAUUGCAGCGCUUGUCAAACGCAGCCAGCAGAUUGGCUCGAGAGCCAUCAGGAACUACUGGGAUAUGUUGCCGAAUGACAGGCCCUAACAA
RNAcentral lists this unclassified non-coding RNA (405 nucleotides) under Hevea brasiliensis (rubber tree). The record is from RNAcentral. Lineage: Eukaryota; Viridiplantae; Streptophyta; Magnoliopsida; Malpighiales; Euphorbiaceae.